This 395-nucleotide ribosomal RNA is filed under the name Tolypocladium ophioglossoides. RNAcentral describes it as "partial small subunit ribosomal RNA". It matches the Rfam family "Eukaryotic small subunit ribosomal RNA", at positions 30 to 432 of the family's 1831-position model. Lineage: Eukaryota; Fungi; Ascomycota; Sordariomycetes; Hypocreales; Ophiocordycipitaceae. The record is from RNAcentral.
GCUUGUCUCAAAGAUUAAGCCAUGCAUGUCUAAGUAUAAGCACCCUUAUACUGCGAAACUGCGUACAGCUCAUUAUAUCAGCAAUUAUUUAUUUGAAGGUCACCUAUUACAUGGAUAACCGUGGUAAUUCUAGAGCUAAUACAUGCGAAAAGUCGGCGCAAGUCGAUGUAUUUAUUAGAUUAAAAACCAAUGCCCUCUGGGCUCUCUGGUGAUUCAUGAUAACUUCUCGAAUCGCAUGGCCUUGCGCCGGCGAUGGUUCAUUCAAAUUUCUUCCCUAUCAACUUUCGAUGUUUGGGUAGUGGCCAAACAUGGUUGCAACGGGUAACGGAGGGUUAGGGCUCGACCCCGGAGAAGGAGCCUGAGAAACGGCUACUACAUCCAAGGAAGGCAGCAGG